RNAcentral lists this ribosomal RNA (468 nucleotides) under uncultured bacterium. RNAcentral describes it as "bacterial SSU rRNA". It matches the Rfam family "Bacterial small subunit ribosomal RNA", at positions 327 to 793 of the family's 1533-position model. The record is from RNAcentral.
AGCAGAGCACUCCUACGGGAGGCAGCAGUGGGGAAUCUUGCGCAAUGGGCGGAAGCCUGACGCAGCAACGCCGCGUGGGGGAUGACGGCCUUCGGGUUGUAAACCUCUUUCGCGAUCGACGAAGCUCGUACUUCUGGUACGGGUGACGGUAGGUCGAGAAGAAGCACCGGCCAACUACGUGCCAGCAGCCGCGGUAAUACGUAGGGUGCGAGCGUUGUCCGGAAUUAUUGGGCGUAAAGAGCUCGUAGGCGGUGUGUCGCGUCGGCCGUGAAAACCUGGGGCUUAACUCUGGGCGUGCGGUCGAUACGGGCAUCACUGGAGUUCGGCAGGGGAGACUGGAAUUCCUGGUGUAGCGGUGAAAUGCGCAGAUAUCAGGAGGAACACCGGUGGCGAAGGCGGGUCUCUGGGCCGAUACUGACGCUGAGGAGCGAAAGCAUGGGUAGCGAACAGGAUUAGAUACCCUGGUAG